Molecule: ribosomal RNA, 497 nt
Filed under: uncultured bacterium
Lineage: Bacteria
Description: partial 16S ribosomal RNA
Rfam family: Bacterial small subunit ribosomal RNA
Source: RNAcentral
GAUGAACGCUGGCGGCGUGCCUAAUACAUGCAAGUCGAGCGAACGGACGAGAAGCUUGCUUCUCUGAUGUUAGCGGCGGACGGGUGAGUAACACGUGGAUAACCUACCUAUAAGACUGGGAUAACUUCGGGAAACCGGGGCUAAUACCGGAUAAUAUUUUAAACCGCAUGGUUCAAAAGUGAAAGACGGUCUUGCUGUCACUUAUAGAUGGAUCCGCGCUGCAUUAGCUAGUUGGUAAGGUAACGGCUUACCAAGGCAACGAUGCAUAGCCGACCUGAGAGGGUGAUCGGCCACACUGGAACUGAGACACGGUCCAGACUCCUACGGGAGGCAGCAGUAGGGAAUCUUCCGCAAAGGGCGAAAGCCUGACGGAGCAACGCCGCGUGAGUGAUGAAGGUCUUCGGAUCGUAAAACUCUGUUAUUAGGGAAGAACAUAUGUGUAAGUAACUGUGCACAUCUUGACGGUACCUAAUCAGAAAGCCACGGCUAACUACGUG